This is a small nuclear RNA of Pleuronectes platessa (European plaice), 165 nucleotides long. RefSeq annotates it as U1 spliceosomal RNA. The record is from RefSeq and is a predicted model, not a curated record. Lineage: Eukaryota; Metazoa; Chordata; Actinopteri; Pleuronectiformes; Pleuronectidae. The transcript has a single exon.
AUACUUACCUGGCAGGGGAGAAACCAUGAUCAUGAAGGUGGUUCACCCAGGGCGAGGCUCAGCCAUUGCACUUCGGUUGUGCUGACCCUUGCGAAUUCCCCAAAUGUGGGAAUCUCGACUGCAUAGUUUUGUGGUAGUGGGGGACUGCGUCCGCGCUCUCCCCUG